CCUACGGGAGGCAGCAGUGGGGAAUAUUGGACAAUGGGCGAAAGCCUGAUCCAGCCAUGCCGCGUGUGUGAAGAAGGCCUUCGGGUUGUAAAGCACUUUCAGUGGGGAAGAAAGCCUUGGGGCUAAUACCCUCGAGGAAGGACAUCACCCACAGAAGAAGCACCGGCUAACUCCGUGCCAGCAGCCGCGGUAAUACGGAGGGUGCGAGCGUUAAUCGGAAUUACUGGGCGUAAAGCGCGCGUAGGCGGUCUGAUAAGCCGGUUGUGAAAGCCCCGGGCUCAACCUGGGAACGGCAUCCGGAACUGUCAGGCUAGAGUGCAGGAGAGGAAGGUAGAAUUCCCGAUGUAGCGGUGAAAUGCGUAGAGAUCGGGAGGAAUACCAGUGGCGAAGGCGGACUUCUGGACUGACACUGACGCUGAGGUGCGAAAGCGUGGGUAGCAAACAGGAUUAGAUACCCGUGUAGUC
This 465-nucleotide ribosomal RNA is filed under the name Vreelandella stevensii. Its description in RNAcentral is "partial 16S ribosomal RNA". It matches the Rfam family "Bacterial small subunit ribosomal RNA", at positions 338 to 795 of the family's 1533-position model. The record is from RNAcentral. Lineage: Bacteria; Pseudomonadati; Pseudomonadota; Gammaproteobacteria; Oceanospirillales; Halomonadaceae.